RNAcentral lists this ribosomal RNA (490 nucleotides) under uncultured bacterium. RNAcentral's name for it is "bacterial SSU rRNA". It matches the Rfam family "Bacterial small subunit ribosomal RNA", at positions 29 to 507 of the family's 1533-position model. The record is from RNAcentral.
AUGAACGCUAGCUACAGGCUUAACACAUGCAAGUCGAGGGGCAGCAUUAUCGAAGCUUGCUUUGAUAGAUGGCGACCGGCGCACGGGUGAGUAACGCGUAUCCAACCUUCCCCAUAGUCAGGAAUAGCCCGGCGAAAGUCGAAUUAAUGCCUGAUGUUUUCCACGGACGGCAUCUGAUGUGGAACAAAGAUUCAUCGCUAUGGGAUGGGGAUGCGUCUGAUUAGCUUGUUGGCGGGGGUAACGGCCCACCAAGGCAACGAUCAGUAGGGGUUCUGAGAGGAAGGUCCCCCACAUUGGAACUGAGACACGGUCCAAACUCCUACGGGAGGCAGCAGUGAGGAAUAUUGGUCAAUGGGCGGAAGCCUGAACCAGCCAAGUAGCGUGAGGGAUGACUGCCCUAUGGGUUGUAAACCUCUUUUAUAAGGGAAUAAAAUACGGGACGUGUCCUGUUUUGCAUGUACCUUAUGAAUAAGGACCGGCUAAUUCCGUG